This 450-nucleotide ribosomal RNA is filed under the name uncultured bacterium. RNAcentral describes it as "partial 16S ribosomal RNA". It matches the Rfam family "Bacterial small subunit ribosomal RNA", at positions 354 to 796 of the family's 1533-position model. The record is from RNAcentral.
GUGGGGAAUAUUGGACAAUGGGCGAAAGCCUGAUCCCGCCAUGCCGCGUGUGUGAAGAAGGUCUUCGGAUUGUAAAGCACUUUAAGUUGGGAGGAAGGGCAGUAAGUUAAUACCUUGCUGUUUUGACGUUACCAACAGAAUAAGCACCGGCUAACUUCGUGCCAGCAGCCGCGGUAAUACGAAGGGUGCAAGCGUUAAUCGGAAUUACUGGGCGUAAAGCGCGCGUAGGUGGUUCAGCAAGUUGAAGGUGAAAUCCCCGGGCUCAACCUGGGAACUGCAGCCAAAAAUACUGAGCUAGAGUACGGUAGAGGGUAGUGGAAUUUCCUGUGUAGCGGUGAAAUGCGUAGAUAUAGGAAGGAACACCAGUGGCGAAGGCGACUACCUGGACUGAUACUGACACUGAGGUGCGAAAGCGUGGGGAGCAAACAGGAUUAGAAACCCUGGUAGUCC